AUUGAACGCUGGCGGCAGGCCUAACACAUGCAAGUCGAACGGUAACAGGAAACAGCUUGCUGUUUCGCUGACGAGUGGCGGACGGGUGAGUAAUGUCUGUGAAACUGCCUGAUGGAGGGGGAUAACUACUGGAAACGGUAGCUAAUACCGCAUAACGUCGCAAGACCAAAGAGGGGGACCUUCGGGCCUCUUGCCAUCGGAUGUGCCCAGAUGGGAUUAGCUCGUAGGUGGGGUAACGGCUCACCUAGGCGACGAUCCCUAGCUGGUCUGAGAGGAUGACCAGCCACACGGGAACUGAGACACGGUCCAGACUCCUACGGGAGGCAGCAGUGGGGAAUAUUGCACAAUGGGCGCAAGCCUGAUGCAGCCAUGCCGCGUGUAUGAAGAAGGCCUUCGGGUUGUAAAGUACUUUCAGCGGGGAGGAAGGGAGUAAAGUUAAUACCUUUACUCAUUGACGUUACCCGCAGAAGAAGCACCGGCUAACUCCGU
This 489-nucleotide ribosomal RNA is filed under the name uncultured bacterium. RNAcentral's name for it is "partial 16S ribosomal RNA". It matches the Rfam family "Bacterial small subunit ribosomal RNA", at positions 30 to 506 of the family's 1533-position model. The record is from RNAcentral.